RNAcentral lists this long non-coding RNA (352 nucleotides) under Mus spicilegus (steppe mouse). RNAcentral describes it as "lncRNA (ENSMSIG00000018700.1)". Lineage: Eukaryota; Metazoa; Chordata; Mammalia; Rodentia; Muridae. The record is from RNAcentral.
CUGGAACUCAUUAUCUAUCCACAGCCUCCCAAGUGUUCGUGGUCCAGGUAUACGCCGCCCACACCCUAGAAAACCCAACGCCUUCAGUAACAACAUCUAACUGAACACGGCAUCCAUGUCUACAUCCUCUGGACGUUGGGAAAGUAGAAGAACUCACAACCAUUUCUUGGACUCCACCAGUACCACGGGCUCCAGAACUGCUACCUGGGCAGGUGAAGCUAACAUCUCCUGGGAGUCACUGGGAAAUCAUGGAAGCCAAGGUUAUACAUUGAGACUAUGGGAAGAUUGGAAGAAAGUCUCAGCUUCAACUUUUUUUUUUUAAGGAGAAUCUGUGUGUGUGUGUGUGUGUGUG